This 447-nucleotide long non-coding RNA is filed under the name Gallus gallus (chicken). Lineage: Eukaryota; Metazoa; Chordata; Aves; Galliformes; Phasianidae. The record is from RNAcentral.
GGGGCCGUGCAUGAUGACGGUGAAUUCAGAGGUGGUGGGUUCUGCCCCUGUGUAGAGCUGGUAGGGAGUGUCAUCCAGCCCGAGGAGGUAGUUUAUCAUGGAGGAUUUGCCAACGCUCCACGGUCCCAGGAAUAGCACCAUCGGCUUGGAAGUGAUCUCCCCAUCUGUGAUCUCAUGCUGCCUCAGCUCAUUGUAUCUGUAGGACUGCUCCAGGGGUUUGAUGGAGGCGUGGUAGAUCUUCCUCAGCCGCUGCAGUACUCCUGAGAAGUCAUCGGCAGGUUUGUCUUCGUUCAGCUUGAGGGUGUUCUCCAAGUGGGACCGGUCGCGCUUGGUGGGCUCGCUGGCAUCCUCAACCUCUUCUGCCGUGCCGAGGAGCAGGAGCGAGGCCACGCAGCAGCACAGCAGGUUGAGGCGCUUCAUGGUGGCUGCCAGGAGCUCUCCGCCGCU